CAGAGUUGACAUUUCCGUCCCUCCCAGAUAGAGGCGACUUCGACUUGCAAGAAGUUAUCGAUUCUCCAUACUUCUUCAAUUGACUGUCCACAGAGGCUGUGCUGCAUUCUUUGUAACUCGACCAGAGGAUAUUCCUCUCUUCAUUCACCGGAAAAGUGUCAAAGACUCGGCUGAAUUGGAAUUGAAAUCUCUGGUUUCACCCCAAUGAAUUUGUGGGCAUGGAAUUUGAUGUCUGCAAUUGCGAUGGGGCUUGGCAGUGGGAUUCCAGAAGUCGGAACCUCGUAUUUUCUUCAGUUCCGCUGAUUUCCGGAAAAUAACAAAAGGGUAAUGGUUGACGGCACCGAUUCGUUCGUUACCAUUGCUGAUUGAUCAUGGCGGUAAAAUUGGUGUACAAUCUUGUGCUCACCAGUUGAUUCAUUUUUUGUAGUAUGUGGUAUAGAACAGGGGAUUGUAACAGGGAAGAUGUAGCCCUGUUUUGUAUAAUUGUGUAUAUUAUGAGCAUUAGAGAAAUUUCCAAGGGUAUUUCAUAAAUGUUGCUUUUCAUAGGAGAACAAUAAAGACUGCAAUUGAUGAAAA
Long non-coding RNA from Rhododendron vialii, 576 nucleotides. RefSeq lists it as uncharacterized. The record is from RefSeq and is a predicted model, not a curated record. NCBI's taxonomy places the organism in Eukaryota, Viridiplantae, Streptophyta, Magnoliopsida, Ericales, Ericaceae. The transcript has 2 exons.